This 72-nucleotide transfer RNA is filed under the name Camelus bactrianus (Bactrian camel). It matches the Rfam family "tRNA". Rfam says of the family: Transfer RNA (tRNA) molecules are approximately 80 nucleotides in length. Their secondary structure includes four short double-helical elements and three loops (D, anti-codon, and T loops). Further hydrogen bonds mediate the characteristic L-shaped molecular structure. tRNAs have two regions of fundamental functional importance: the anti-codon, which is responsible for specific mRNA codon recognition, and the 3' end, to which the tRNAs corresponding amino acid is attached (by aminoacyl-tRNA synthetases). tRNAs cope with the degeneracy of the genetic code in two manners: having more than one tRNA (with a specific anti-codon) for a particular amino acid; and 'wobble' base-pairing, i.e. permitting non-standard base-pairing at the 3rd anti-codon position. RNAcentral also lists the same sequence under 2 other names. Lineage: Eukaryota; Metazoa; Chordata; Mammalia; Artiodactyla; Camelidae. The record is from Rfam by way of RNAcentral.
GAGGGUAUGGCUCAGUGGUAGAGUGCGUGCUUAGCAUGCAUGAGGUCCUGGGUUCAAUUCCCAGUACCUCCA